CGGGGCGUGGCGCAGCCCGGUAGCGCACCUGCUUUGGGAGCAGGGGGUCGCUGGUUCGAAUCCAGUCGCCCCGA
This 74-nucleotide transfer RNA is filed under the name Candidatus Dormiibacterota bacterium. RNAcentral's name for it is "tRNA-Pro". It matches the Rfam family "tRNA". Rfam says of the family: Transfer RNA (tRNA) molecules are approximately 80 nucleotides in length. Their secondary structure includes four short double-helical elements and three loops (D, anti-codon, and T loops). Further hydrogen bonds mediate the characteristic L-shaped molecular structure. tRNAs have two regions of fundamental functional importance: the anti-codon, which is responsible for specific mRNA codon recognition, and the 3' end, to which the tRNAs corresponding amino acid is attached (by aminoacyl-tRNA synthetases). tRNAs cope with the degeneracy of the genetic code in two manners: having more than one tRNA (with a specific anti-codon) for a particular amino acid; and 'wobble' base-pairing, i.e. permitting non-standard base-pairing at the 3rd anti-codon position. RNAcentral also lists the same sequence under 1 other name. Lineage: Bacteria; Bacillati; Candidatus Dormiibacterota. The record is from RNAcentral.